Mercenaria mercenaria is the source of this 388-nucleotide long non-coding RNA. RefSeq lists it as uncharacterized. NCBI's taxonomy places the organism in Eukaryota, Metazoa, Mollusca, Bivalvia, Venerida, Veneridae. The record is from RefSeq and is a predicted model, not a curated record. The transcript is spliced from 3 exons.
GUCAAAUUCAGCAUCCGUGACUAAAACAUUUACAUUUGUUUAGCAACCUAGUCAUAAUUAGAGAGUGUCAUUCAGAAUGAGAUGGUGUCAUACAGAAGUCGAAGAUCACUCAGUACAUAUGUAUCGGGAACAGACAAAAUUCCCAGCCUGUGGAUAUGGGUCAGGAAGAAGAAAAAUAAACUGUAUAAAAACCCAAGUUUGGACUGUGGCCAUGCCAUUAUCCCUGGAGAGAAUUCCGUCUUGUCUGUAAAAUGAUUAUAAUGGAAGCUCAUUGCAUCACCCUUGUAUGCUACUGGAACAACUCGUCUGUUUAGCUGACGAGGAUGUCCCAUCAGAGUUUGAACCCAGUACACAAAAGGUCCGUCCACUGCAGCGGCGACAUGAACAA